GGACGGUGUGAGCGCAACGCUACUCUGUUUACCAGGUCAGGUCCGGAAGGAAGCAGCCAGAGCAGACGACGUGUGUGCCGGGAUGUAGCUGGCAGGG
Molecule: signal recognition particle RNA, 97 nt
Filed under: Klebsiella pneumoniae
Lineage: Bacteria; Pseudomonadati; Pseudomonadota; Gammaproteobacteria; Enterobacterales; Enterobacteriaceae
Description: signal recognition particle sRNA small type
Rfam family: Bacterial small signal recognition particle RNA
About the family: The signal recognition particle (SRP) is a universally conserved ribonucleoprotein involved in the co-translational targeting of proteins to membranes. Archaeal SRP consists of a 7S RNA and homologues of the eukaryotic SRP19 and SRP54 proteins. In most bacteria, the SRP consists of a 4.5S RNA and the Ffh protein (a homologue of the eukaryotic SRP54 protein).
Source: RNAcentral